GUAUUAUGUUUACCUCAUUAGUGGAGCCUCAUUCUACGGAUGUGAAAAUAUUUAUGCUAGUCGCACUUAUUGGGAAUUUGUGGAUAGAACAAUAAAAUUAUUUUCCUAGCUCAGUUAGCUCACUAUAUAUUUUUUCCCAUUGACUUUACCAGUGAGAGGAAGAUGAAAACAGUAUGAAUGAGUAUGCAACAUUGUCUCAAAGUCAGCCAGCCUGGUAACAUUUUAUUCAGCCAAUACCAAUUGUGAAUACGGGCAAUGAGCAGCAAGACAUUGGAGAAGGGUUCCCCAGGGAGAUAUGAGGAAUUCCGGAGACAGUGGUGCUGCCCAGCUGCAUGUGUCCAGAGGUCACUCUGCUGCUCUGUUUGGGGUCAGAGAAGUAGGGAAAAGAAUGGAGUGGACAUGGAGUGCCGGCAUCAGAGCUUUUGCCAAGAUCAAAAUGUUCCCCAUCGCUGUGAGCAGAUGAGAGCUUGGAACCUGGACUCACACAGUCCCAGCUCCAGCAGGGCUUUUGGCAACAACCCCAGUGUCUUCAGCUACAGACACCACCUCUGUGAAUGCCAAGAAAAGCAAACACAGGCCCCAGAUCUCCUGUUGCACCAACUGGAAAGAAGCCCACAGCAGAGGAGCUGAGCUGUGAGGACAAUCUUCCCGUAGCUCUUAAUUUUCCACCAUUCUUCCCUCAUCUGAAUCAAACAAACAACACGCUUAUAAUAAAAUUUGCAGGUGUGGCUGAUUUAUAUUCUGGGAUUCUUUUUUUGAUCAAAUUCCCUAUAGGAUGCUGGGAGAAAAUGGUGAAUAAAGCUGUAUAAUGCAGUAUGUCCCAGACUUUUCAGUCUGAAUAGAAAGGGAGGAAAACCUGGAAAAGCAGAGAUUUCAUUUCCCCCUUGGGAGCUGGCUCUUUUUAGUGGCCCAGGAUGGUGUCACUCAAAUCCUCUCCAGACAACCCUUUGGAAAUAUGUUCCAUGUUCCUCUUCUUAGGGAUGUGGGUAGGAGUGGGGGUGGAGAUGGUUCUGUAAAGCUUGAAGAGCAAGGUAAUAACGUGGCACUUUAAAAUCCUGGCCCUCCAAGAUUUGAGACAAGACUGGGAAUUUAUUUGGGGAAAAUGCUUUUCUCAGCCUUAGGAGCAGGAAAGUAGAAUUACUAAUAUCAAGAAUGAUAAUGGCUACCAAGGAGAAGAAAAUGUUCAUAGUUUACCAAAGCAAAAUGUGAGCCAUUGGUGGCACACAGAUGAGUGGGGAAUCUGCGAUCUGAUGCAUCUCAAUUUCCAGAAAAGAAAGAACCUGGAGGCUAUUGGUUACUCAAGUCUUCAGAUAUUUCCAAGG
This 1322-nucleotide long non-coding RNA is filed under the name Callithrix jacchus (white-tufted-ear marmoset). RNAcentral describes it as "lncRNA (ENSCJAG00000086212.1)". The record is from RNAcentral. Lineage: Eukaryota; Metazoa; Chordata; Mammalia; Primates; Cebidae.